RNAcentral lists this long non-coding RNA (2209 nucleotides) under Equus caballus (horse). RNAcentral describes it as "lncRNA (ENSECAG00000046922.1)". The record is from RNAcentral. Lineage: Eukaryota; Metazoa; Chordata; Mammalia; Perissodactyla; Equidae.
ACCGCCAAAGUUGAGAACCAUUGCGUAGUUAGGGCCACCUACCCUUGACCAAUGGUGGUUAGAACUGGUGGAUAAAUACAUCUCUUGGGGGAGAAUGCUCAGCACAUUCUAUGAAAACAACUCAGUGUCCCAGUGGGAUUGAGCCUUUGUUACCCACAGUGGUGAUCAGUUAGAUAACGCACCAUUGAAUUAUCUUCCCUCAUUCUCUAUUUCGCUCUUCCAAGACCCACACUCCUGUUCCUGGGAUUAAUUACAAACUGAACUGUGUGCACUCAGCCACUUAUCUCAGGCUGCUUUUGAGAAGGAACCCAGGCUAACGUAGGCAGAAAAGCGUAGAGCUUAUAUCUGGCCCUCAUUUCCUGGUCCUCAUGGGAGCGUACGAAGGAAGGAAGUAUUUGCUCCCCGUGGAACUGUCUCACACGAAGUUGGAGGCUGACAAGUCCCAAGAUCUGCAGUUGGCAAGUUGGAGGAACAAGAGACCCAAUGGUAUCGUUUCAGUCUGUGUUGAGGGCCCGAGACCCAGGAGAGCCGAUGGUGAAACCUUGGGAGUUGCUCAGGGCUUGGACACUCGGAGAGCAGUCAACCAUCGACUGACAGGAAGUCCACCUGUAACCAGCAAAUUCAAAAACCAAAAAAAGCUUACUGAGAAAAGAAGGAUUGUUUUACAUUUGGAAAUCUCUUUAAUGUGUGACUUCAUAGAUGUCUGGAUUCUCCUGUUUCUGCAUUCAAUCUGUUGUGACACUCUACAGCAUGAAGCUUCUGGAAAACUCCAAUGUGUUUGUGAGAGAAUGAGAGUGAAAAUGGCAAAUGACAUUUUAAUAUUAUUAUGAAAGUAGUUUGGCCUCGUAUAGCUGUUACCACACAAAAUUGGGGUUCUCUGCCUGACGUGCAUGAAAAAACACAGUUAAUUAUGCUUUUGGGAAAAGAAAUCAGCUUCAUUCUGUGAGAUGGAUCUGCAGAGAGAACAGGGGGCAUGUGCCCUCAGAUCUGUCUCCUUGAUUCAGGAUUUGGGGUGAAAUUUGAGAGGUUAGGGAGAACAGGCUGGCACGUGGAAAUGCUGCUGGGGCAGGUUUUGUUCGGUGGGCUCCAAGGAUUUAUGGUAAGGUUUUAAACGUUUGUGACAGGUUCUAAACUUCUAUGAUGGGGUUCUAAACAUUUUUGACAAGGUGAGGAAGGAAUUUCAACACUGGAUCUUCCUGAAUGAGGGACCCCUCACUUCCAAUAAGAGUCUGACUUUCAAGUUCCAGUCAUGUCCUUCCUUGGGUUCUGUGGGAAGGAGAAUCUUGGGUUCUGGGGUCAUUUCAGGUCAAGAUUUCUCCUUUUGCACAUGCCCUGGCUACGUGACUUUGCCGAUUUUCUCAAAGGCAAUUCUUAAUUACUCUGUUGAUAAGAGAUGGAGUCUGUUGAAUUGGUCCUGGAGGGCCUGCGAUUGCAUAACUGCUGACAGGCUCUCAAGGUCUCUGAGGCAUCCAGGGCCUGCGCUUUGAGAAUUGAUGGUCUGGGUCCUUUCUGAGCUAAUUCUUUGAGCUAGCCCAGCGAGCAACGGGCGGCUGAGCACCUGCCCUCCCCCACCCCCUCAUCUCUUUUAGCCUUUCCCAAACAAUUCAUUCUUUUGAAUUAAGGCAUUAUUUUCUAUCAAAGUGCAAAUACCAGUGGGAGAGAUAACACAUUACGCUGUUACCAGCUGUCAAUUCCUUCGGGUGACCAAACCUAAUUCAUUUUAACUUGAGAGUCCAUGAGAACAGAAAAGAGAUGAAACAGAAAGAAGAAGGGCCAGAAAUUGGGUGUGGAAGGACCCCUCUCCCCAGCUCAGUGUCAACUUUUUCUAUUUCACAGCAGGGCCUAGGAGAAGCCUGGUUUCUGGAUACUUAGCUCACAGCUAUGACGAGAAGCCAUUCCCUAAUCUGUUUUAAUUGCUUAUUCUCAAGAGCUACCUGAGUUAUAGUACCCCUGUGGCCACUAACAUCCAAUUUCGGACUCAUUGAUCCAGGAAAUGGAAAGAGUUACAACUACUAAUAAAAAGCCAAUCAAAACAAAAGCCACUAAUUUCUGUGGAGAAGUAUUUUUAUCGAUAACCGUGCAGGAAGCUCUUUAUUAAUCUAUCUUCAUGGGGCUGGCCCCAUGGCCAAGUGGUUAAGUUUGCGUGCUCCAAUUUGGCGGCCCAAGGUUUCGGUGGUUUGGAUCCUGGGUGCAGACAUGUCAUCGCUCG